This 253-nucleotide ribosomal RNA is filed under the name uncultured bacterium. RNAcentral's name for it is "partial 16S ribosomal RNA". It matches the Rfam family "Bacterial small subunit ribosomal RNA", at positions 524 to 776 of the family's 1533-position model. The record is from RNAcentral.
UACGAAGGGGGCUAGCGUUGCUCGGAAUCACUGGGCGUAAAGCGCACGUAGGCGGCUUCUUAAGUCAGGGGUGAAAUCCUGGAGCUCAACUCCAGAACUGCCUUUGAUACUGGGAAGCUUGAGUCUGGGAGAGGUGAGUGGAACUGCGAGUGUAGAGGUGAAAUUCGUAGAUAUUCGCAAGAACACCAGUGGCGAAGGCGGCUCACUGGCCCGGUACUGACGCUGAGGUGCGAAAGCGUGGGGAGCAAACAGG